This 763-nucleotide ribosomal RNA is filed under the name Reevesia thyrsoidea. RNAcentral's name for it is "eukaryotic LSU rRNA". The stretch from base 346 to 501 matches the Rfam family "5.8S ribosomal RNA". The record is from RNAcentral. Lineage: Eukaryota; Viridiplantae; Streptophyta; Magnoliopsida; Malvales; Malvaceae.
AUUAGAGGAAGGAGAAGUCGUAACAAGGUUUCCGUAGGUGAACCUGCGGAAGGAUCAUUGUCGAAACCUGCCCAGCAGAACGACCCGCGAACGCGUUAACAACACACCCGGAGGGGGUGCGGACGCCCCCGUGCCCCGAGCCCCCUCCGUGCCCGGGCGUGCGCGACGGUCGCUCCGGUUCCCGACCGAACGACCGGUCUCGUCGCUCGCGGCAAACAACGAACCCCCGGCGCGAAUCGCGCCAAGGAACCGUAAUGAAAAAGAGCACGUGCGUUGCUCUGCCGCCCCGUCCGCGGCGAGCGCGCGGGCAGCGUCGUGGCUCCUUUUGUCGUGAAAAUCUAAAACGACUCUCGGCAACGGAUAUCUCGGCUCUCGCAUCGAUGAAGAACGUAGCGAAAUGCGAUACUUGGUGUGAAUUGCAGAAUCCCGUGAACCAUCGAGUCUUUGAACGCAAGUUGCGCCCCAAGCCAUUAGGCCGAGGGCACGCCUGCCUGGGUGUCACGCAUCGUCGCCCCCUUCGACCCUCGGCCCCUCCGGGUCCGGGCGAUGCGGGGCGGAAAAUGGCCUCCCGUGCGCUUCCCGCUCGCGGUUGGCCCAAAAAGCCCGUCCUCGGCAACGAUAGCGCCGCGACGAUCGGUGGUAACGCAUCGUCUCCCGUCGCGCGCGCCCGUCGUCGAUUCGGACCGACCAGGACCCUCUUGCAUCGCUUUCGUCGGUGCUCGCAUCGCGACCCCAGGUCAGGCGGGAUUACCCGCUGAGUUUA